Molecule: long non-coding RNA, 694 nt
Organism: Carassius gibelio (silver crucian carp)
Lineage: Eukaryota; Metazoa; Chordata; Actinopteri; Cypriniformes; Cyprinidae
Exons: 2
Source: RefSeq, a predicted model, not a curated record
UCCAACUGGUUCCAGGUGUAACCCAUCUUUAUGAUUUCAGCCUUGAUGUCAUGUUGCCAGGUGUUUCUAGGGUAAUGCCUACCCCCUUAUGUUGGUUGGCAGUUUACAAAGGGUGUCCACUCUCCAGCCCCAUCUUCUCUAGCUGAUUUCUUAUUCAGCAGGAAGUUAAUGUGUCCUUUUUAUUGCUGAUGGUGUCAGGCCAGUGGAUCGGGAGAAUUGAUUAAGGUUUGGACCUUCCCGGUGGUCUAUCUUGGUUGUCCUUUAGGCUUCAGCUCCAUACAGCAACAAUGACUUGAAGUUGGAGAUAAAAAAGACAGGUUAUGUGUUUUCAGAGUGAGCAGAGAGGAUGUUUUCAGCACAGAACUGAGAGCGUGCAAAUCCGCCAUCACUGGAGACAUCAGCCCAGCUUGCUGAGCUGAGGGAAGACCACUGGGAUCUCUCUCUCUCUCGCUUUCUCUCACUCAACUUCUCUUCCCUCUCCACAUUCGAGAGAAGAACUGACACUCAUCUCGUCCCACACUGGGAGGAUUCAAAGGAGCAGUCAUCCAGCAAAUGAAAUGCAGAGAGAGCUCAGCGGAGAGCAGGGGGACCAUUCCUAUCACCAUCCACCUUUCGGAAACUGUUAAUUGCAGAGGCAGUGGUAAAAACGUAUUCAAACUGUGACGACAAAAUUAAAGGAUCCUUAUACAUCUAA